GGGGGGGGGGGGUGGGGGGGGGGGGGGGGGGGGGUGGGGGGGGGGGAAGGGAUGGAGGGGGGGGGUGGGGGGGGGGGGGGGGGGGGGGUGGGGGGGGGGGAAGGGGGGGAGGGGGGGGGGGGGUGGGGGGGGGGGGGGGUGGGGGGGGGGGGUGGGGGGGGGGGGGGGGAGGGAGGGAGUGGGGGGAGGGGGUGGAGGGGGGGGGGGGGGAGGGGG
RNAcentral lists this long non-coding RNA (216 nucleotides) under Sus scrofa (pig). Its description in RNAcentral is "lncRNA (ENSSSCG00030053021.1)". The record is from RNAcentral. Lineage: Eukaryota; Metazoa; Chordata; Mammalia; Artiodactyla; Suidae.